AGUGGUGUGACUCAGUGGUAGAGUACCUGUCUUUUAUCCAAGAGGCCCUGGGUUCAGUCCCUAGUACCACAG
Molecule: transfer RNA, 72 nt
Filed under: Dipodomys ordii (Ord's kangaroo rat)
Lineage: Eukaryota; Metazoa; Chordata; Mammalia; Rodentia; Heteromyidae
Rfam family: tRNA
About the family: Transfer RNA (tRNA) molecules are approximately 80 nucleotides in length. Their secondary structure includes four short double-helical elements and three loops (D, anti-codon, and T loops).
Source: Rfam by way of RNAcentral